GAUUAUGGCUCAGGAUGAACGCUGGCGGCGCGCCUAACACAUGCAAGUCGAACGGCACCUAUCUUCGGAUAGAAGCGAGUGGCGAACGGCUGAGUAACACGUGGAGAACCUGCCCCCUCCCCCGGGAUAGCCGCCCGAAAGGACGGGUAAUACCGGAUACCCCGGGGUGCCGCAUGGCACCCCGGCUAAAGCCCCGACGGGAGGGGAUGGCUCCGCGGCCCAUCAGGUAGACGGCGGGGUGACGGCCCACCGUGCCGACAACGGGUAGCCGGGUUG
This 276-nucleotide ribosomal RNA is filed under the name uncultured bacterium. RNAcentral describes it as "partial 16S ribosomal RNA". It matches the Rfam family "Bacterial small subunit ribosomal RNA", at positions 15 to 294 of the family's 1533-position model. The record is from RNAcentral.